CGUGUAGGCGGUCGGUUAAGUCUGAUGUGAAAGCCCGGGGCUUAACCUCGGAAGGGCGUUGGAAACUGGCCGACUUGAGUUCGGGAGAGGGAAGCGGAAUUCCGGGUGUAGAGGUGAAAUUCGUAGAUAUCCGGAGGAACACCGGUGGCGAAGGCGGCUUCCUGGACCGAAACUGACGCUGAGACGCGAAAGCGUGGGGAGCAAACAGGAUUAGAUACCCUGGUAGUCCACGCCGUAAACGAUGGGCACUAGGUGUGGGGGUUUUUAAUCCCUCCGUGCCGCAGCUAACGCAUUAAGUGCCCCGCCUGGGGAGUACGGCCGCAAGGUUAAA
This 331-nucleotide ribosomal RNA is filed under the name uncultured bacterium. RNAcentral describes it as "bacterial SSU rRNA". It matches the Rfam family "Bacterial small subunit ribosomal RNA", at positions 568 to 898 of the family's 1533-position model. The record is from RNAcentral.